UCCUCAGGCUCCGGGAGAGCUGGGGAGGCCUUCCCUGAGGCCGUGUACGAGGAGAUCGCUUACAGCCUGGCGUGGGAGAAGCAGCCGAGGUUCAGUCUCUCAGAUGUCCCUGUCCUGCCCGAAGGUUACCCAGCAGAUGGCUAUGAUGAUGCUGGGGAGGUUUCUGACCCUGGGGAGGAUCCUGUCCCUGGGCAGGGGGACUGGGAAGUGCCCAGGACACCAGAGGAAGGAGAUGGGCUGAGGCAUGCAGCCACAGGUGAGAGGGCAAUGCAGCACUGCCACUUCCUAGGUGCCAACCCCAGGCCUAGGAGAAUCCAUGCCAUAUUGAAAGCCUGACCAUCCAUGGAGUACCUGUCCUGGGAUAUUUUGUGGGGUCUGGGAGAAUGGGCCGAAUGUCUCAGGCUGGUGAGAAUGAGGAAGGUGAUAAACAGGCCCGAGGCGUACCCCACAGGCCC
This 455-nucleotide long non-coding RNA is filed under the name Anas platyrhynchos platyrhynchos (common mallard). Its description in RNAcentral is "lncRNA (ENSAPLG00000017061.1)". The record is from RNAcentral. Lineage: Eukaryota; Metazoa; Chordata; Aves; Anseriformes; Anatidae.